RNAcentral lists this ribosomal RNA (301 nucleotides) under uncultured bacterium. Its description in RNAcentral is "partial 16S ribosomal RNA". It matches the Rfam family "Bacterial small subunit ribosomal RNA", at positions 509 to 807 of the family's 1533-position model. The record is from RNAcentral.
CAGUCGCCGCGGGAAUACGAGGGGGGCUAGCGGUGUUCGGAUUUACUGGGCGUAAAGCGCACGUAGGCGGAUUGUUAAGGCGGGGGUGAAAUCCUGGAGCUCAACUCCAGAACCGCCUUCGAUACUGGCAAUCUCAAGUCCGGAAGAGGUGAGUGGAACUCCUAGUGUAGAGGUGGAAUUCGUAGAUAUUAGGAAGAACACCAGUGGCGAAGGCGACUCACUGGUCCGGUACUGACGCUGAGGUGCGAAAGCGUGGGGAGCAAACAGGAUUAGAUACCCCCGUAGUCCCUGUCUCUUAUAC